UAUGAUUUUAGAUGUUGAAAU
This 21-nucleotide non-coding RNA is filed under the name Caenorhabditis elegans. The record is from RNAcentral. Lineage: Eukaryota; Metazoa; Nematoda; Chromadorea; Rhabditida; Rhabditidae.